Molecule: transfer RNA, 73 nt
Filed under: Ixodes scapularis (black-legged tick)
Lineage: Eukaryota; Metazoa; Arthropoda; Arachnida; Ixodida; Ixodidae
Description: tRNA-Ser
Source: RNAcentral
UCCUGUUUAGCUCAGUUUGUAGAGCGCUCCACGGGAAAUUGAGAGGUCCCUGGUUCGAUACCAGGACCAGGCG